Molecule: ribosomal RNA, 497 nt
Filed under: uncultured bacterium
Lineage: Bacteria
Description: partial 16S ribosomal RNA
Rfam family: Bacterial small subunit ribosomal RNA
Source: RNAcentral
GAUGAACGCUGGCGGCGUGCCUAAUACAUGCAAGUCGAGCGAACGGACGAGAAGCUUGCUUCUCUGAUGUUAGCGGCGGACGGGUGAGUAACACGUGGAUAACCUACCUAUAAGACUGGGAUAACUUCGGGAAACCGUAGCUAAUACCGGAUAAUAUUUUGAACCGCAUGGUUCAAAAGUGAAAGACGGUCUUGCUGUCACUUAUAGAUGGAUCCGCGCUGCAUUAGCUAGUUGGUAAGGUAACGGCUUACCAAGGCAACGAUGCAUAGCCGACCUGAGAGGGUGAUCGGCCACACUGGAACUGAGACACGGUCCAGACUCCUACGGGGGGCAGCAGUAGGGAAUCUUCCGCAAUGGGCGAAAGCCUGACGGAGCAACGCCGCGUGAGUGAUGAAGGUCUUCGGAUCGUAAAACUCUGUUAUUAGGGAAGAACAUAUGUGUAAGUAACUGUGCACAUCUUGACGGUUCCUAAUCAGAAAGCCACGGCUAACUACGUG